This 468-nucleotide ribosomal RNA is filed under the name uncultured bacterium. RNAcentral's name for it is "partial 16S ribosomal RNA". It matches the Rfam family "Bacterial small subunit ribosomal RNA", at positions 28 to 507 of the family's 1533-position model. The record is from RNAcentral.
GACGAACGCUGGCGGCGUGCUUAACACAUGCAAGUCGAACGGAAAGGCCCUGCUUUUGUGGGGUGCUCGAGUGGCGAACGGGUGAGUAACACGUGAGUAACCUGCCCUUGACUUUGGGAUAACUUCAGGAAACUGGGGCUAAUACCGGAUAGGAGCUCCUGCUGCAUGGUGGGGGUUGGAAAGUUUCGGCGGUUGGGGAUGGACUCGCGGCUUAUCAGCUUGUUGGUGGGGUAGUGGCUUACCAAGGCUUUGACGGGUAGCCGGCCUGAGAGGGUGACCGGCCACAUUGGGACUGAGAUACGGCCCAGACUCCUACGGGAGGCAGCAGUGGGGAAUAUUGCACAAUGGGCGGAAGCCUGAUGCAGCUACGCCGCGUGCGGGAUGACGGCCUUCGGGUUGUAAACCGCUUUCGCCUGUGACGAAGCGUGAGUGACGGUAAUGGGUAAAGAAGCACCGGCUAACUACGUG